UGGGGAAUAUUGGGCAAUGGGCGAAAGCCUGACCCAGCAACGCCGCGUGAAGGAAGAAGGUUUUCGGAUUGUAAACUUCUGUUGUGAGGGACGAAGGACGUGACGGUACCUCAUGAGGAAGCCCCGGCUAACUACGUGCCAGCAGCCGCGGUAAUACGUAGGGGGCAAGCGUUGUCCGGAAUUACUGGGCGUAAAGGGAGCGUAGGCGGCUUAUUAAGUCAGAUGUGAAAUCCCCGGGCUUAACCUGGGAGGUGCAUCUGAAACUGGUGAGCUUGAGUGCGGGAGAGGCAAGUGGAAUUCCUAGUGUAGCGGUGGAAUGCGUAGAUAUUAGGAGGAACACCGGUGGCGAAGGCGGCUUGCUGGACCGUAACUGACGCUGAGGCUCGAAAGCGUGGGGAGCAAACA
RNAcentral lists this ribosomal RNA (405 nucleotides) under uncultured bacterium. Its description in RNAcentral is "bacterial SSU rRNA". It matches the Rfam family "Bacterial small subunit ribosomal RNA", at positions 355 to 774 of the family's 1533-position model. The record is from RNAcentral.